CAGCAGCCGCGGUAAGACGGAGGGUGCUAGCGUUGUUCGGAAUCACUGGGCGUAAAGGGCGCGUAGGCGGCCUGUUAAGUCGGAUGUGAAAGCCCGGGGCUCAACCCCGGAACUGCAUCCGAGACUGGCAGGCUUGAGACCGGGAGAGGAGGGUGGAAUAUCCAGUGUAGAGGUGAAAUUCGUAGAUAUUGGAUGGAACACCGGUGGCGAAAGCGGCUCUCUGGCCCGGAUCUGACGCUGAGGCGCGAAAGCGUGGGGAGCAAACAGGAUUAGAUACCCCUGUAGUCCCUGUCUCUUAUAU
Molecule: ribosomal RNA, 301 nt
Filed under: uncultured bacterium
Lineage: Bacteria
Description: partial 16S ribosomal RNA
Rfam family: Bacterial small subunit ribosomal RNA
Source: RNAcentral